Molecule: ribosomal RNA, 460 nt
Filed under: uncultured bacterium
Lineage: Bacteria
Description: partial 16S ribosomal RNA
Rfam family: Bacterial small subunit ribosomal RNA
Source: RNAcentral
CCUACGGGAGGCAGCAGUGAGGAAUAUUGGUCAAUGGUCGGGAGACUGAACCAGCCAAGCCGCGUGAGGGAGGAAGGUACAGAGUAUCGUAAACCUCUUUUGUCAGGGACCAAAGACUGGGACGCGUCCCCGGAUGAGUGUACCUGAAGAAAAAGCAUAGGCUAACUCCGUGCCAGCAGCCGCGGUAAUACGGAGGAUGCGAGCGUUAUCCGGAUUUAUUGGGUUUAAAGGGUGCGCAGGCGGUCUGGUAAGUUAGCGGUCAAAGCCCGGGGCUCAACCCCGGCCCCGCGUUUGAAACUGGCAGUCUCGAGUUGGAGAGAAGUAUGCGGAAUGCGCGGUGUAGCGGUGAAAUGCAUAGAUAGCGCGCAGAACGCCGAUUGCGAAGGCAGCAUGCCGGCUCCACACUGACGCUGAGGCACGAAAGCGUGGGUAUCGAACAGGAUUAGAUACCCGAGUAGUC